AGAAGUUAAAUAACCCUGCCAGUAAGUGCUAGUGUCCAUGCUGUGACUGAAGGCUGGCCACGCCACCUCCCAUCCUGUUUCUUUCAACUAUGAGAUGAGCUCCUGUACUCCACGACACAAUGAGUGCCCAGCACCUUGCAGACAGUAACUGUCCACACCACCUCCCAUCCUGUUUCUUUCAACUAUGAAAUGAGCUCCUGUACUCCACGACACAGGGCUCCAUAUUUGAGCUCCACAGGGAACACAUAUUCACCGCCUGCUGCGCAGAAGUGGCUGAGCAGAUAGCAACCACACCUUGGACACAGAGAGCCCUUCUGCUUCCUUGGAUAAAGGUUCUGCACAACGUGACACAGGUACGCUGAGCAAAGAGGGACUAAUGGUCUGGGAAGUCAGGAAGGCUUCCUAGAACAGGUGACAUUUGAGCUGGGUCUUGAAGAUGAGUAGCUCUUCAAAGAGGAAGAAGGAGAAGGAGAAGGAGGAAAAGAGUGCCCUGGGUCAAAAGCACAUGCAAACCCCAGACGCAUGAGAGUUGAGCUUUAGUCUGCAUCCUGAGUGAAAUCUAAGAGUAUUCAGACAGCAGCUCUGUGCCCCCAGGAGUAGCCCGUGCUUCAGACAGGCAGAGUUUGGCCACAGAGCUGCACCUGAGGAUGCUGUCCAUCAUGGUAAUAACUUAAGUAGCAUUUAUGGAGCACUUACUCCUAUGUACUUGGCACUGUAGGUGCUUUACACAUAUUAACUCCUUCAAUCUCCAUCAAUUUAUGAGAUAGCCACUACAUAUCCCCACUUUAGAGAUGAGAAAACUGAUGCCCAGAGGCCAAAUAACUUGCUGAAGGUCAUGGAGCUAAAGAUGACAAGUGCCCCUAAU
RNAcentral lists this long non-coding RNA (865 nucleotides) under Papio anubis (olive baboon). Its description in RNAcentral is "lncRNA (ENSPANG00000043237.1)". The record is from RNAcentral. Lineage: Eukaryota; Metazoa; Chordata; Mammalia; Primates; Cercopithecidae.